ACAUGCAAGUCGAACGCUUUUUCUUUCACCGGAGCUUGCUCCACCGAAAGAAAAGGAGUGGCGAACGGGUGAGUAACACGUGGGUAACCUGCCCAUCAGAAGGGGAUAACACUUGGAAACAGGUGCUAAUACCGUAUAACAAUCGAAACCGCAUGGUUUCGGUUUGAAAGGCGCUUUUGCGUCACUGAUGGAUGGACCCGCGGUGCAUUAGCUAGUUGGUGAGGUAACGGCUCACCAAGGCAACGAUGCAUAGCCGACCUGAGAGGGUGAUCGGCCACAUUGGGACUGAGACACGGCCCAAACUCCUACGGGAGGCAGCAGUAGGGAAUCUUCGGCAAUGGACGGAAGUCUGACCGAGCAACGCCGCGUGAGUGAAGAAGGUUUUCGGAUCGUAAAACUCUGUUGUUAGAGAAGAACAAGGAUGAGAGUAGAAUGUUCAUCCCUUGACGGUAUCUAACCAGAAAGCCACGGCUAACUACGUGCCAGCAGCCGCGGUAAUACGUAGGUGGCAAGCGUUGUCCGGAUUUAUUGGGCGUAAAGCGAGCGCAGGCGGUUUCUUAAGUCUGAUGUGAAAGCCCCCGGCUCAACCGGGGAGGGUCAUUGGAAACUGGGAAACUUGAGUGCAGAAGAGGAGAGUGGAAUUCAUGUGUAGCGGUGAAAUGCGUAGAUAUAUGGAGGAACACCAGUGGCGAAGGCGGCUCUCUGGUCUGUAACUGA
RNAcentral lists this ribosomal RNA (717 nucleotides) under uncultured Bacilli bacterium. RNAcentral describes it as "bacterial SSU rRNA". It matches the Rfam family "Bacterial small subunit ribosomal RNA", at positions 53 to 743 of the family's 1533-position model. Lineage: Bacteria; Bacillati; Bacillota; Bacilli. The record is from RNAcentral.